AUUUGUACCUGGCAGGGGGCGAUACCAUGAUCACGAAGGCAUUUCACCCAGGGCGAGGCUCUGCCAUUGCAUUUCAGUGGUGCUGACCCUUGCAAAUUCCCCAAAUGCGGCAAUCUCGACUGCAUAAUUUCUGGUAGUGGGGGGCUAUGUUUGUGCUCUGG
Molecule: small nuclear RNA, 161 nt
Organism: Pygocentrus nattereri (red-bellied piranha)
Lineage: Eukaryota; Metazoa; Chordata; Actinopteri; Characiformes; Serrasalmidae
Gene: U1
Rfam family: U1 spliceosomal RNA
About the family: U1 is a small nuclear RNA (snRNA) component of the spliceosome (involved in pre-mRNA splicing). Its 5' end forms complementary base pairs with the 5' splice junction, thus defining the 5' donor site of an intron. There are significant differences in sequence and secondary structure between metazoan and yeast U1 snRNAs, the latter being much longer (568 nucleotides as compared to 164 nucleotides in human).
Source: Ensembl